AUUUUUAAACGCUAGUAUCAUCACAGCUGUGUAUCUGGCCCCCCAUCUGCCAGCACUCACACCGCUAGGCUGAGCUCCUGGAGGGGGCAUGUGCUCUGUUUGUUGACAAAAAGAUUAGCUAAAGCCCAAGGAUGGAAACUAAGGCCCCAGGCCGUGAUUGCCCACGUUUCUUUGUGGACAGCAAAUCUUAGAAACAUCAUGGGGGAAGGGGUGUGUGUGUUCCGCGCUUGUCUGUGUGGGAAGGGGUUGAUUGGUUGGGUCUGUUCUUUCGCUCCUGAUAGAGUCUUCUCAAAAACCUCUCACAGGCUCCGUCCAUGCCACAUCGGUAGCAGCCUCAAGAGUGGAGCAGGCACUGUCGGAAGUGGCUUCGUCUCUGCAGAGCAGUGCCCCUAAGCAGGGCCCGCUGCACCCCUGGAUGACGCUGGCACAGAUCUGGCUCCAUGCAGCUGAAGUCUAUAUCGGCAUCGGGAAGCCUGCAGAAGCCACAGCCUGUACCCAAGAAGCUGCCAACCUCUUCCCAAUGUCCCACAACGUCCUCUACAUGCGCGGCCAGAUUGCUGAGCUCCGGGG
RNAcentral lists this small RNA (570 nucleotides) under Pan troglodytes (chimpanzee). Its description in RNAcentral is "retained intron". The record is from RNAcentral. Lineage: Eukaryota; Metazoa; Chordata; Mammalia; Primates; Hominidae.